Molecule: ribosomal RNA, 460 nt
Filed under: Franconibacter pulveris
Lineage: Bacteria; Pseudomonadati; Pseudomonadota; Gammaproteobacteria; Enterobacterales; Enterobacteriaceae
Description: bacterial SSU rRNA
Rfam family: Bacterial small subunit ribosomal RNA
Source: RNAcentral
ACUUUAAUUGAAGAGUUUGAUCAUGGCUCAGAUUGAACGCUGGCGGCAGGCCUAACACAUGCAAGUCGAGCGGUAACAGGGAUCAGCUUGCUGAUUCGCUGACGAGCGGCGGACGGGUGAGUAAUGUCUGGGAAACUGCCUGAUGGAGGGGGAUAACCACUGGAAACGGUGGCUAAUACCGCAUAACGUCGCAAGACCAAAGUGGGGGACCUUCGGGCCUCAUGCCAUCAGAUGUGCCCAGAUGGGAUUAGCUUGUAGGUGGGGUAACGGCUCACCUAGGCGACGAUCCCUAGCUGGUCUGAGAGGAUGACCAGCCACACUGGAACUGAGACACGGUCCAGACUCCUACGGGAGGCAGCAGUGGGGAAUAUUGCACAAUGGGCGCAAGCCUGAUGCAGCCAUGCCGCGUGUAUGAAGAAGGCCUUCGGGUUGUAAAGUACUUUCAGUGGGGAGGAAGGCG